This 497-nucleotide ribosomal RNA is filed under the name uncultured bacterium. RNAcentral describes it as "partial 16S ribosomal RNA". It matches the Rfam family "Bacterial small subunit ribosomal RNA", at positions 28 to 507 of the family's 1533-position model. The record is from RNAcentral.
GAUGAACGCUGGCGGCGUGCCUAAUACAUGCAAGUCGAGCGAACAGACGAGGAGCUUGCCCCUCUGACGUUAGCGGCGGACGGGUGAGUAACACGUGGAUAACCUACCUAUAAGACUGGGAUAACUUCGGGAAACCGGAGCUAAUACCGGAUAAUAUAUUGAACCGCAUGGUUCAAUAGUGAAAGACGGUUUUGCUGUCACUUAUAGAUGGAUCCGCGCCGCAUUAGCUAGUUGGUAAGGUAACGGCUUACCAAGGCAACGAUGCGUAGCCGACCUGAGAGGGUGAUCGGCCACACUGGAACUGCGACACGGUCCAGACUCCUACGGGAGGCAGCAGUAGGGAAUCUUCCGCAAUGGGCGAAAGCCUGACGGAGCAACGCCGCGUGAGUGAUGAAGGUCUUCGGAUCGUAAAACUCUGUUAUUAGGGAAGAACAAAUGUGUAAGUAACUAUGCACGUCUUGACGGUACCUAAUCAGAAAGCCACGGCUAACUACGUG